RNAcentral lists this unclassified non-coding RNA (1887 nucleotides) under Leishmania donovani. Its description in RNAcentral is "gene:LdHU3.26.1320(CDS-product:RNA_recognition_mo tif._(a.k.a._RRM_RBD_or_RNP_domain)_putative)". Lineage: Eukaryota; Euglenozoa; Kinetoplastea; Trypanosomatida; Trypanosomatidae. The record is from RNAcentral.
CUGCCAGACAGCUCCUAGGCGAACCCGCAGCUCGAGGUCUUCUGUUGGUCCCCCACCCACCCACCGAGGCCGCAGGGUGUUCAGACCCCUCUCCUGUCCUCUUCUUCGUGUUGGCGCAUUUUCUUUGUCCAUCCUUCGUAGGCGCGCGUCUGGUGGCGGGUGUGCGGAGCUAUAGCCCACUUGCUUCCCUCCCACUUUCCCCCUCUCAUUGCAAGGGCACCACUGUACGCAACGUACACAAGAGUACCGGAGCGCAGAUACGCAUGAUGGCCUCCUUCACACCACUCGACAACUUCAAGAGCCGCAGCCGUGGCGUGGUGCCGACAGGCAUCGUGAUCGACAAGUCCUGCCGCGUGUACGUGACGCAGAUCCCGCUGGAGCGCAUUGAGCGAGACGGCGCGAGUGCGAUGAAGUCCGAGUUUGAGGUCUACGGCCCCCUGGAGUCGUACAAGAUGUUCACCGACCGCUCCGGCCGCUUCAUUGGCAGUGCCCUGUGCACUUACCGUAACCCGGCAGACGCAUCCAUGGCUGUCUACUGCAUGGAUGGCGUAGAGGUGGAAGGGUCGACGCUGCACGUGGAGCCAGCGAAGGAGCACGGCGUUGUGCUUCUCUCUUCGGGUAGCAGCGGUGGCGGCAACGGGCAGCACCGCGAUCACAGCCGCGGUUUCCUACGCGACACGCAGCGGCAGUGGGGACGCGGCGGCCGCGGGGGUGCUGGCCUGCUUGGCGCUGGGCGCGGCAGCGGUUACGCGACAACCGGGACACAAGAUGCGAGCAACGCGUCAGAGUUGGACCUCCGCGCAGAGGAGUUGGGACUGGCUGCCAGGGACGGUGUCUCCCCUUCCGCAGACAAUGGAAAGUGGAGCCAUGACAAGUACGAAAUGAUGGCCGAAGGCAAGGACAUGGACGAGGUUCUUGGGAUCCGUCGCCCACACCACCAUCGCGGCGGCGCGCGUGGUCGUGGUGGACGCGUAGGGCAGCGCUACGGCGAGCGUGUGGAUGUAGCGUUCGAGAGUUACAUCCGCGAGCGCGACGCCAACGACAAGAAUGCGCCGCCGCCACCGUCUCCAUCUUCCACGGCUGCCGCCUUGUCGUUGAGCAUCCAGGCGGACGUGCAGCCGACCCCGGCGACGGAGCCAGCGGCAGAGGGGAGCGUGGCGGGGACGAUGGCAGAAAUGGCCUUUGGCGCCGACGAGAGCGAUGCUCCUGUUAUAGGAACGGAGCUGGGCGCGCUUCCGGAGGAUGCCUAGAGAGCAGGUAAUGCGCCGCCAACUCGCGCGCUUGCCGGUGUGCCUAAGCCGCUGGUGCGGCCGACGUCCUUGCGCGAACUAAAGAGUAUCCUGUUGGCCGUGAGCUCCAAAGGAGGGGGCGCCAACUCGUUUCGGCGGAUGAAGGCACUCUUAUUUUGUCUGCAUGAGUGCGUUUUGUUCGUGCUUGCGCGUCUCUUGGUGUGCGAGCAAGCAUAUGUGCGUAAACGCCGGAAACUCGGGUAGGCACCGUGGCUGGCGCUGGUGGCUCGAGUGCAGCACGCGUGUACGUGUGCGCGCGUCGAUCGUAGGCCUUGCGGUGAGGUGCACCGCGGACGCGCUUCAUCUCUGCCUUUUAGCAGUGCAUGUGCUCCAGAGAGGGGUCCCGCACCCCACCCCCACCCUCUCUUUUCAGCGGACGCAGGGCAAGAGGGUCGGCGUAGAUUAUCAAUCCCCCGCCCCGCUCGCGGGAGCCUCUGUCACUUGUGUCGCCCCCUCCCCCGCAAGGCCAGCGCAUCCGAAAUCCACCUCUUCUCUCCUCUCCUCGAACCUCUUUUGGGCCCGCUUCCCACCGUGCUGGCCGGCCACCGCACGCAUGCACACCGACGCCCCGCCACACGGACACCGCAACCGGGCAAAG